CUUGGUCAUUUAGAGGAAGUAAAAGUCGUAACAAGGUUUCCGUAGGUGAACCUGCGGAAGGAUCAUUAACAUAAUAUUCUUACACACUGUUUUUUUACAACAAAACAAAUCUAUCUAAAAACAAUUCUUUACAAGAAAUUCUUAAAACUUUCAACAACGGAUCUCUUGGUUCUCGCAUCGAUGAAGAACGCAGCGAAAUGCGAUACGUAAUACGAAUCGCAGCUCACGGAAUCAUCGAAUCUUUGAACGCACAUUGCACCAUUGGGUAUUCCCAAUGGUAUGCUUGUUUGAGCGAAUACUUCCCUAAUCCUCACGGAUUGUAUUGUGUUUGCACGAAAAUAAUGACGACAGUACUCUACAAAACGGUACCGUCAGUACACUCAUUUUUUUUUCCUCAAAUCAAGUAGGACUACCCGCUGAACUUAAGCAUAUCAAUAAGCGGAGGA
This 446-nucleotide ribosomal RNA is filed under the name uncultured Ascomycota. RNAcentral describes it as "eukaryotic LSU rRNA". The stretch from base 146 to 297 matches the Rfam family "5.8S ribosomal RNA". Lineage: Eukaryota; Fungi; Ascomycota. The record is from RNAcentral.